This 328-nucleotide ribosomal RNA is filed under the name uncultured Actinomycetes bacterium. Its description in RNAcentral is "bacterial SSU rRNA". It matches the Rfam family "Bacterial small subunit ribosomal RNA", at positions 28 to 351 of the family's 1533-position model. Lineage: Bacteria; Bacillati; Actinomycetota; Actinomycetes. The record is from RNAcentral.
GACGAACGCUGGCGGCGUGCUUAACACAUGCAAGUCGAGCGGUAAGGCCCUAACUUGUUGGGGUACACGAGCGGCGAACGGGUGAGUAACACGUGAGUAAUCUGCCCUUCACUCUGGGAUAAGCUUCGGAAACGGGGUCUAAUACCGGAUAUGACGCACCCACGCAUGUGGUGUGUGUGGAAACUUUUUGUGGGUGGGGGAUGUGCUCGCGGCCUAUCAGCUUGUUGGUGGGGUAAUGGCCUACCAAGGCUUCGACGGGUAGCCGGCCUGAGAGGGUGACCGGUCACACUGGGACUGACGACACGGCCCAGACACCUACGGGUGGCUG